Rosa rugosa (rugosa rose) is the source of this 1111-nucleotide long non-coding RNA. RefSeq lists it as uncharacterized. The record is from RefSeq and is a predicted model, not a curated record. The transcript has 6 exons. Lineage: Eukaryota; Viridiplantae; Streptophyta; Magnoliopsida; Rosales; Rosaceae.
CAGUUAUUCCAUAGUAACUCCUCUCCUUUUCUCCUUGCUGACGAUGACCUGAAACAAAACAAACCCAACGAGAUCAAGGCGGUUCCUAUUGCCAAUGGCUUCUUCCACGGAGGGUCUGGUGCCCAUGACCAGGGCUUUUCUCACUUCUUAUUACGACACCUACAAAUUCCUUCCUCUCUCCGAUGACAUCCCCCGCCUCUCCUCCGAGAUUCGAUCCCUCACUGCCGAUUUGCUCUCCAACUCUCUGGCCACUCCAGGAUAAGAGAGAUUAGUAGUGGAUGAACUAGAGAGUCCUCUGCCGCAUAAAGUGGAUGAGAGUAUGUGGAAGAAUCAGGAGCAUAUGGAAGAGGUAGUCCUUUUACUUGAUAGGCCUCAUUGGCCUCAAUCGAGUCGUGGAACUCAGCUCAAGGAUAUUCCGAGCGAAAUCCUUUGUAUCUGCUGGUCAUCUUCAUUGGCUUUUUACUCUUUAAAGCACUAUAGGUGCAGCUAGACAUCUCGGCCGAAUCCGCAAUGCCACUAUCGUAUUCAGGACUUGAGUCUUUCAUUGCAAUGUUGAUUCUUCUGGUAAUGUAAGUUUGAAAAUCGUAAAGGAUGGUUGGAGUCCAGCACUAACGAUUACAAAGGUGCUACUAGCAAUUCGGUCCAUUUUCACAAAACCUGAUCCUUUGCCAACAAGUGCUUAAAGAGCUAGAAGCAAGUAUCGGUCAAUCUUGCUGGGGGUUUCUAUAUAGUCAUAAUUGCACUUACUUUUGAUUAGUAUAUAUUUGUUGGAUUUGAUCAUCUGCUACAAGCUUGGCCAAGUGGUUGAGACUUGCUGUGAAUAUAUGGGGACAACAUCAUUGCUGGUAAUAAGGCGGAAGUCUGGGGCACGAGUUCUUGUUGUUGUUGUGGACUAGUGAGCUCACUCUCUCUUUUGAAGGCGAGGUUUAUGUGUUUUUUGCUGUUAUGCCCCAGAAGGUCACUCUGUUUCUUUCUUCCUUGUAUAUUAUAAAUUGUUUAAUUCUAAAAUGCUUGUAUAUUAUGUACAUAGUAAGGCAUGCAUUAUCCCUUUUGUUUUCAUUGCAUUUGUUAAUUGUGUCAGGAACUAUAUGGUGGAAUGUUGCAUAAAGAG